GAUGAACGCUGGCGGCGUGCCUAAUACAUGCAAGUCGAGCGAACAGACGAGGAGCUUGCUCCUCUGACGUUAGCGGCGGACGGGUGAGUAACACGUGGAUAACCUACCUAUAAGACUGGGAUAACUUCGGGAAACCGGAGCUAAUACCGUAUAAUAUAUUGAACCGCAUGGUUCAAUAGUGAAAGACGGUUUUGCUGUCACUUAUAGAUGGAUCCGCGCCGCAUUAGCUAGUUGGUAAGGUAACGGCUUACCAAGGCGACGAUGCGUAGCCGACCUGAGAGGGUGAUCGGCCACACUGGAACUGAGACACGGUCCAGACUCCUACGGGAGGCAGCAGUAGGGAAUCUUCCGCAAUGGGCGAAAGCUUGACGGAGCAACGCCGCGUGAGUGAUGAAGGUCUUCGGAUCGUAAAACUCUGUUAUUAGGGAAGAACAAAUGUGUAAGUAACUAUGCACGUCUUGACGGUACCUAAUCAGAAAGCCACGGCUAACUACGUG
This 497-nucleotide ribosomal RNA is filed under the name uncultured bacterium. RNAcentral describes it as "partial 16S ribosomal RNA". It matches the Rfam family "Bacterial small subunit ribosomal RNA", at positions 28 to 507 of the family's 1533-position model. The record is from RNAcentral.